Molecule: long non-coding RNA, 446 nt
Filed under: Homo sapiens (human)
Lineage: Eukaryota; Metazoa; Chordata; Mammalia; Primates; Hominidae
Description: HSALNT0176097
Source: RNAcentral
UUUGGACCUUUCAGAUUCAGGUCAACUUCAGGCAUAGAGAUCUUCGGUGCCUUGAGGUGCAGGUCAGGCAUUUUAAAUUUGGGGCCCUUCAGUUUCCCUUCUGGACCAUGAAUAUCAAUAUCAGGAGUGUCAAUGUCCACUUUGGGUCCUGAGACAUCAAUGUCAGCCUUGGGCAGGUUCACAUCCACAUCUGGGCCCUCUCCUUUGAAGCCAGGCAUGCUGAACUUGGGCAUUUUCACCUUGGGCAUCUUCAGGGCCCUCUGCUUUGAAGCCAGGCAUGCUGAACUUGGGCAUUUUCAUCUUGGGCAUCUUCAGGUGCCAGUCUGGGCCUUGAACCUCCACAUCUGGGGCAUCAAUGUCCAUUUUGGGUCCUUUGAUUUCAACAUCUGGCACUUUCAUUUCACCUUCUACCUUGGGCACAGACACAUCUGGGGCAUCAAUGUCCA